Molecule: ribosomal RNA, 253 nt
Filed under: uncultured bacterium
Lineage: Bacteria
Description: partial 16S ribosomal RNA
Rfam family: Bacterial small subunit ribosomal RNA
Source: RNAcentral
UACAGAGGGGGCAAGCGUUGUUCGGAAUUACUGGGCGUAAAGGGCGCGUAGGCGGCCUGUUAAGUCGAACGUGAAAUCCCCGGGCUCAACCCGGGAACUGCGUCCGAUACUGGCAGGCUUGAAUUCGGGAGAGGGAUGCGGAAUUCCAGGUGUAGCGGUGAAAUGCGUAGAUAUGCGGAGGAACACCGAUGGCGAAGGCAAUCCCCUGGACCUGUACUGACGCUCAUGCACGAAAGCGUGGGGAGCAAACAGG